UUUUUGAUGCCGCUAGCGGCUUGCCUAACACAUGCAAGUCGAACGGUAACAGCACUUCGGUGGCUGACGAGUGGCGCACGGGUGAGUAACGCGUAUGCAACCUACCUUUCACAGUGGGAUAGCCCAGAGAAAUUUGGAUUAAUACCGCAUAGUAUGCAGGACCAGCAUUGGAUCUGUAUUAAACAUUUAUGGGUGAGAGAUGGGCAUGCCGUUCUAUUAGUUAGUUGGAGUGGUAACGGCACCCCAAGACAGCGAUAGAUAGGGGUCCUGAGAGGGGGAUCCCCCACACUGGUACUGAGACACGGACCAGACUCCUACGGGAGGCAGCAGUGAGGAAUAUUGGACAAUGGGCGCAAGCCUGAUCCAGCCAUGCCGCGUGCAGGAAGACGGCCCUAUGGGUUGUAAACUGCUUUUAUACAGGAAGAAACACCCCGACGUGUCGGGGCUUGACGGUCUGUAGGAAUAAGGAUCGGCUAACUCCGUGCCAGCAGCCGCGGUAAUACGGAGGAUCCAAGCGUUAUCCGGAAUCAUUGGGUUUAAAGGGUCCCUAGGUGGCGAUUAGUCAAGGUGAAAUCCUGCAGCUCAACUGUAGAAUUGCUUUGAAACUGGUGUCUUGAUAUUGUGAAGUGGUAGAAUAUGUGGUGUAGCGGGGAAAUCAUAAUAUACAUAAAUCC
RNAcentral lists this ribosomal RNA (674 nucleotides) under uncultured Antarctic soil bacterium. Its description in RNAcentral is "bacterial SSU rRNA". It matches the Rfam family "Bacterial small subunit ribosomal RNA", at positions 23 to 709 of the family's 1533-position model. The record is from RNAcentral.